RNAcentral lists this ribosomal RNA (253 nucleotides) under uncultured bacterium. Its description in RNAcentral is "partial 16S ribosomal RNA". It matches the Rfam family "Bacterial small subunit ribosomal RNA", at positions 524 to 776 of the family's 1533-position model. The record is from RNAcentral.
UACGAAGGGGGCUAGCGUUGUUCGGAAUCACUGGGCGUAAAGCGCACGUAGGCGGUUGUGUACGUCAGGGGUGAAAUCCCGGGGCUCAACCUCGGAACUGCCUUUGAUACAGCACGUCUCGAGUCCGGAAGAGGUGGGUGGAAUUCCUAGUGUAGAGGUGAAAUUCGUAGAUAUUAGGAAGAACACCGGUGGCGAAGGCGGCCCACUGGUCCGGUACUGACGCUGAGGUGCGAAAGCGUGGGGAGCAAACAGG